GCGGAGAUAGCUAAGCCUGGCCCACGGCGCCGGUCUUGAAAACCGGUGGCAUCUGCCUCGGGAGUUCGAAUCUCCCUCUCCGCG
Molecule: transfer RNA, 84 nt
Filed under: Methanomassiliicoccales archaeon RumEn M2
Lineage: Archaea; Methanobacteriati; Thermoplasmatota; Thermoplasmata; Methanomassiliicoccales
Rfam family: tRNA
About the family: Transfer RNA (tRNA) molecules are approximately 80 nucleotides in length. Their secondary structure includes four short double-helical elements and three loops (D, anti-codon, and T loops).
Source: Rfam by way of RNAcentral